ACCCAAUCCUGACACAGGGAGGUAGUGACAAUAAAUAAAAUGCCGGGCCUUUCUAGGUCUGGCAAUUGGAAUGAGAGCAAUUUAAAUCCCUUAUCGAGGAUCAAUUGGAGGGCAAGUCUGGUGCCAGCAGCCGCGGUAAUUCCAGCUCCAAUAGCGUAUAUUAAAGUUGUUGCAGUUAAAAAGCUCGUAGUUGGAUUUCUGGUGGGAGCGAUCGGUCUGGCGCUUAGCGCGAGUACUUGCAUCGUCUCCGGCCAUCCUUGGGGAGAGUUUGUCUGGCAUUAAGUUGUCGUGCAGGGGAUGCCCAUCUUUUACUGUGAGUUAAUUAGAGUGUUCAAAGCAGGCUUAUGCCGUUGAAUAUGCUAGCAUGGAAUAAUGAGAUAGGACCUUGGUACUAUUUUGUUGGUUUGCGCACCAAGGUAAUGAUUAAUAGGGACAGUUGGGGGUAUUCGUAUUCCAUUGUCAGAGGUGAAAUUCUUGGAUUUUUGGAAGACGAACUACUGCGAAAGCAUUUACCAAGGAUGUUUUCAUUAAUCAAGAACGAAAGUUAGGGGAUCGAAGAUGAUUAGAUACCAUCGUAGUCUUAACCAUAAACUAUGCCGACAAGGGAU
This 608-nucleotide ribosomal RNA is filed under the name uncultured marine diatom. Its description in RNAcentral is "SSU rRNA". It matches the Rfam family "Eukaryotic small subunit ribosomal RNA", at positions 443 to 1053 of the family's 1831-position model. The record is from RNAcentral. Lineage: Eukaryota; Bacillariophyta.